CACUGCCAUACUACCCUGAACGCGCCCGAUCUCGUCUGAUCUCGGAAGCUAAGAUGUGGCCGCAUUUAGGACCCCACCGGCUUGGCUGUGC
Molecule: ribosomal RNA, 91 nt
Filed under: Pan troglodytes (chimpanzee)
Lineage: Eukaryota; Metazoa; Chordata; Mammalia; Primates; Hominidae
Source: RNAcentral